Molecule: ribosomal RNA, 433 nt
Filed under: uncultured bacterium
Lineage: Bacteria
Description: partial 16S ribosomal RNA
Rfam family: Bacterial small subunit ribosomal RNA
Source: RNAcentral
AACGAACGCUGGCGGCAGGCCUAACACAUGCAAGUCGAGCGAGGACUUCGGUCCUAGCGGCGGACGGGUGAGUAACGCGUGGGAACGUGCCCUUUGCUUCAGAAUAGCCCUGGGAAACUGGGAGUAAUACCGGAUGAGCCCUUUGGGGGAAAGAUUUAUCGGCGAAGGAUCGGCCCGCGUUGGAUUAGGUAGUUGGUGGGGUAAUGGCCUACUAAGCCGACGAUCCAUAGCUGGUUUGAGAGGAUGAUCAGCCACACUGGGACUGAGACACGGCCCAGACUCCUACGGGAGGCAGCAGUGGGGAAUCUUAGACAAUGGGGGAAACCCCGAUCUAGCCAUGCCGCGUGAGCGAUGAAGGCCUUAGGGUUGUAAAGCUCUUUCAGCUGGGAAGAUAAUGACGGUACCAGCAGAAGAAGCCCCGGCUAACUCCGUG